Molecule: ribosomal RNA, 253 nt
Filed under: uncultured bacterium
Lineage: Bacteria
Description: partial 16S ribosomal RNA
Rfam family: Bacterial small subunit ribosomal RNA
Source: RNAcentral
AACGUAGGAGGCGAGCGUUAUCCGGAUUUAUUGGGCGUAAAGCGCGCGUAGGCGGCUCUAUAAGUCGGGCGUGAAAUCUCCUGGCUCAACUGGGAGGAGUCGUCCGAUACUGUGGAGCUUGAGGGCAAGAGAGGGAGGUGGAAUUCCCGGUGUAGUGGUAAAAUGCGUAGAUAUCGGGAGGAACACCAGUGGCGAAAGCGGCCUCCUGGCUUGCCCCUGACGCUGAGGCGCGAAAGCGUGGGGAGCGAACGGG